RNAcentral lists this ribosomal RNA (497 nucleotides) under uncultured bacterium. Its description in RNAcentral is "partial 16S ribosomal RNA". It matches the Rfam family "Bacterial small subunit ribosomal RNA", at positions 28 to 507 of the family's 1533-position model. The record is from RNAcentral.
GAUGAACGCUGGCGGCGUGCCUAAUACAUGCAAGUCGAGCGAACAGACGGGGAGCUUGCUCCUCUGACGUUAGCGGCGGACGGGUGAGUAACACGUGGAUAACCUACCUAUAAGACUGGGAUAACUUCGGGAAACCGGAGCUAAUACCGGAUAAUAUAUUGAACCGCAUGGUUCAAUAGUGAAAGACGGUUUUGCUUUCACUUAUAGAUGGAUCCGCGCCGCAUUAGCUAGUUGGUAAGGUAACGGCUUACCAAGGCGACGAUGCGUAGCCGACCUGAGAGGGUGAUCGGCCACACUGGAACUGAGACACGGUCCAGACUCCUACGGGAGGCAGCAGUAGGGAAUCUUCCGCAAUGGGCGAAAGCCUGACGGAGCAACGCCGCGUGAGUGAUGAAGGUCUUCGGAUCGUAAAACUCUGUUAUUAGGGAAGAACAAAUGUGUAAGUAACUAUGCACGUCUUGACGGUACCUAAUCAGAAAGCCACGGCUAACUACGUG